GAUGAACGCUGACAGAAUGCUUAACACAUGCAAGUCAACUUGAACUUCGGUUUGGGUGGCGGACGGGUGAGUAACGCGUAAAGAACUUGCCUCACAGCUAGGGACAACAUUUGGAAACGAAUGCUAAUACCUGAUAUUAUGAUUAUAUGGCAUCGUAUAAUUAUGAAAGCUAUAUGCGCUGUGAGAGAGCUUUGCGUCCCAUUAGCUAGUUGGAGAGGUAACAGCUCACCAAGGCGAUGAUGGGUAGCCGGCCUGAGAGGGUGAUCGGCCACAAGGGGACUGAGACAGGGCCCUUACUCCUACGGGAGGCAGCAGUGGGGAAUAUUGGACAAUGGACCGAGAGUCUGAUCCAGCAAUUCUGUGUGCACGAUGAAGUUUUUCGGAAUGUAAAGUGCUUUCAGUUGGGAAGAAAAAAAUGACGGUACCAACAGAAGAAGUGACGGCUAAAUACGUG
This 454-nucleotide ribosomal RNA is filed under the name uncultured bacterium. RNAcentral's name for it is "partial 16S ribosomal RNA". It matches the Rfam family "Bacterial small subunit ribosomal RNA", at positions 28 to 507 of the family's 1533-position model. The record is from RNAcentral.